RNAcentral lists this ribosomal RNA (468 nucleotides) under uncultured bacterium. Its description in RNAcentral is "partial 16S ribosomal RNA". It matches the Rfam family "Bacterial small subunit ribosomal RNA", at positions 28 to 507 of the family's 1533-position model. The record is from RNAcentral.
GACGAACGCUGGCGGCGUGCUUAACACAUGCAAGUCGAACGGAAAGGCCCGGCUUUUGUGGGGUGCUCGAGUGGCGACGGGGUGAGUAACACGUGAGUAACCUGCCCUUGACUUUGGGAUAACUUCAGGAAACUGGGGCUAAUACCGGAUAGGAGCUCCGGCUGCAGGGUGGGGGUUGGAAAGUUUCGGCGGUUGGGGAUGGACUCGCGGCUUAUCAGCUUGUUGGUGGGGUAGUGGCUUACCAAGGCUUUGACGGGUAGCCGGCCUGAGAGGGUGACCGGCCACAUUGGGACUGAGAUACGGCCCAGACUCCUACGGGAGGCAGCAGUGGGGAAUAUUGCACAAUGGGCGGAAGCCUGAUGCAGCAACGCCGCGUGCGGGAUGACGGCCUUCGGGUUGUAAACCGCUUUCGCCUGUGACGAAGCGUGAGUGACGGUAAUGGGUAAAGAAGCACCGGCUAACUACGUG